GAUGAACGCUGGCGGCGUGCUUAACACAUGCAAGUCGAACGGUGAAGCAGGAGCUUGCUCUUGUGGAUCAGUGGCGAACGGGUGAGUAACACGUGAGCAACCUGCCCCUGACUCUGGGAUAAGCGCUGGAAACGGCGUCUAAUACUGGAUAUGUGAUGUGACCGCAUGGUCUGCAUCUGGAAAGAAUUUCGGUUGGGGAUGGGCUCGCGGCCUAUCAGCUUGUUGGUGAGGUAAUGGCUCACCAAGGCGUCGACGGGUAGCCGGCCUGAGAGGGUGACCGGCCACACUGGGACUGAGACACGGCCCAGACUCCUACGGGAGGCAGCAGUGGGGAAUAUUGCACAAUGGGCGGAAGCCUGAUGCAGCAACGCCGCGUGAGGGAUGACGGCCUUCGGGUUGUAAACCUCUUUUAGCAGGGAAGAAGCGAAAGUGACGGUACCUGCAGAAAAAGCUCCGGCUAACUACGCGCCAGCAGCCGCGGUAA
This 484-nucleotide ribosomal RNA is filed under the name uncultured bacterium. RNAcentral's name for it is "partial 16S ribosomal RNA". It matches the Rfam family "Bacterial small subunit ribosomal RNA", at positions 28 to 523 of the family's 1533-position model. The record is from RNAcentral.